GUAUUUAUGAGCUAAUCAAACGGCUCAUAACCGUUCGGUCGCAGGUUCGAGUCCUGCAAGGUCCA
This 65-nucleotide transfer RNA is filed under the name Staphylococcus aureus. Its description in RNAcentral is "tRNA-Met". It matches the Rfam family "tRNA", at positions 15 to 71 of the family's 71-position model. Rfam says of the family: Transfer RNA (tRNA) molecules are approximately 80 nucleotides in length. Their secondary structure includes four short double-helical elements and three loops (D, anti-codon, and T loops). The record is from RNAcentral. Lineage: Bacteria; Bacillati; Bacillota; Bacilli; Caryophanales; Staphylococcaceae.